AUCAGUGCAUGGUUUGUACAGGCUAGUGGAGCAAAGGAAGGGCUCAAGAAAAUCCUAGGAGUAAUUGAAGCAAGGGCUCCUAGCGAGGCUCAAGAAAAUCUUUUUCAGGAAAUGUGGAGUUGCAGGGGCUCACUCUUGAAAAGUGUGGGUGUUAUGAAUGGGCGGAUUACCUUGGCUUGAAAGGUGGUCCACUCCUAAUUGCACCGAGGCCUUUUAUGAUAAAACCCCACACCUAAAGGUCCAUUGGGCAUUCUCUAUUCCUAAGUGGUUAAUAUGGG
Molecule: long non-coding RNA, 278 nt
Filed under: Prunus persica (peach)
Lineage: Eukaryota; Viridiplantae; Streptophyta; Magnoliopsida; Rosales; Rosaceae
Description: long non-coding RNA (PPER_LNC003724)
Source: RNAcentral